RNAcentral lists this ribosomal RNA (775 nucleotides) under uncultured bacterium. RNAcentral's name for it is "bacterial SSU rRNA". It matches the Rfam family "Bacterial small subunit ribosomal RNA", at positions 1 to 749 of the family's 1533-position model. The record is from RNAcentral.
CCAUUUGCCAAUUCCCUUGAGUUGAUCAUGGCUCAGAAUCAACGCUGGCGGCGUGCCUAACACAUGCAAGUCGAACGCGGUUUCCUCGCAAGGGGAGACUGAGUGGCGAACGGGUGAGUAACACGUGGGUGACCUACCUUCGAGUGGGGGAUAACGUCCCGAAAGGGACGCUAAUACCGCAUAACAUCCUGUCCUUGAACGGAUGGAGAUCAAAGCCGGGGAUCGUAAGACCUGGCGCUUGAUGAGGGGCCCGCGUCCGAUUAGCUAGUUGGUGAGGUAACGGCUCACCAAGGCAACGAUCGGUAGCCGGCCUGAGAGGGCGGACGGCCACACUGGGACUGAGACACGGCCCAGACUCCUACGGGAGGCAGCAGUGGGGAAUUGUUCGCAAUGGGCGCAAGCCUGACGACGCAACGCCGCGUGGAGGAUGAAGGUCUUCGGAUUGUAAACUCCUGUUGCCUGGGACGAAUGGCUCCAACCUAAUACGUUGGAGUGUGACGGUACCAGGUGAGGAAGCCCCGGCUAACUCUGUGCCAGCAGCCGCGGUAAUACAGAGGGGGCAAGCGUUGUUCGGAAUUACUGGGCGUAAAGGGCGCGUAGGCGGCCUGUUAAGUCGAACGUGAAAUCCCCGGGCUCAACCCGGGAACUGCGUCCGAUACUGGCAGGCUUGAAUCCGGGAGAGGGAUGCGGAAUUCCAGGUGUAGCGGUGAAAUGCGUAGAUAUCUGGANGAACACCGGUGGCGAAGGCGGCAUCCUGGACCGGCAUUGACGCUGA